AGAGUUUGAUCAUGGCUCAGGACGAACGCUGGCGGCGUGCCUAAUACAUGCAAGUCGAACGAAACUUUCUUACACCGAAUGCUUGCAUUCAUCGUAAGAAGUUGAGUGGCGGACGGGUGAGUAACACGUGGGUAACCUGCCUAAAAGAAGGGGAUAACACUUGGAAACAGGUGCUAAUACCGUAUAUCUCUAAGGAUCGCAUGAUCCUUAGAUGAAAGAUGGUUCUGCUAUCGCUUUUAGAUGGACCCGCGGCGUAUUAACUAGUUGGUGGGGUAACGGCCUACCAAGGUGAUGAUACGUAGCCGAACUGAGAGGUUGAUCGGCCACAUUGGGACUGAGACACGGCCCAAACUCCUACGGGAGGCAGCAGUAGGGAAUCUUCCACAAUGGACGCAAGUCUGAUGGAGCAACGCCGCGUGAGUGAAGAAGGUCUUCGGAUCGUAAAACUCUGUUGUUAGAGAAGAACACGAGUGAGAGUAACUGUUCAUUCGAUGACGGUAUCUAACCAGCAAGUCACGGCUAACUACGUGCCAGCAGCCGCGGUAAUACGUAGGUGGCAAGCGUUGUCCGG
Molecule: ribosomal RNA, 571 nt
Filed under: uncultured bacterium
Lineage: Bacteria
Description: bacterial SSU rRNA
Rfam family: Bacterial small subunit ribosomal RNA
Source: RNAcentral